AGAGUUUGAUCCUGGCCAGAACGAACGCUGGCGGCGUGGAUAAGGCAUGCAAGUCGAACGACGGCCCUGAAAUAGAUCUUCGGAGAAGUGGAUGGGAUACGGAGUGGCGAAAGGGUGAGUAACACGUGAGCAAUCUGCCCUUUUGUAGGGGAUAACGCAGGGAAACCUGCACUAAUACCGUAUGUGGCCCGGGUACACCUGUACCUGGCGCUAAAGGUGGGGAUCUUCGGACCUGCCACAAAAGGAUGAGCUCGCGCACUAUUAGCUAGUUGGUGUGGUAACGGCGCACCAAGGCGAUGAUGGUUAGCUGGUCUGAGAGGAUGGUCAGCCACACUGGGACUGAGACACUGCCCAGACUCCUACGGGAGGCUGCAGUCGAGAAUCAUUCGCAAUGCGCGAAAGCGUGACGAUGCGACGCCGCGUGGAGGAUGAAGGCCUUCGGGUUGUAAACUCCUGUCACCAGGUAAUAAAGCACUGUUGAUUAAGAGUUGAUGGUGUUGAGCAAACCUGGGGAGGAAGCCACGGCUAACUCCGUGCCAGCCGCCGCGGUAAUUC
This 555-nucleotide ribosomal RNA is filed under the name uncultured Verrucomicrobiota bacterium. RNAcentral's name for it is "bacterial SSU rRNA". It matches the Rfam family "Bacterial small subunit ribosomal RNA", at positions 8 to 526 of the family's 1533-position model. The record is from RNAcentral. Lineage: Bacteria; Pseudomonadati; Verrucomicrobiota.